This is an RNA transcript of Setaria italica (foxtail millet), 3222 nucleotides long. It is a transcript of the gene named beta-galactosidase 3, with no coding region annotated. The record is from RefSeq and is a predicted model, not a curated record. The transcript is spliced from 20 exons. NCBI's taxonomy places the organism in Eukaryota, Viridiplantae, Streptophyta, Magnoliopsida, Poales, Poaceae.
CCUCGCGCAUCGCUGUCCCCCACCGAAACACUCCCCCCGCCGCGGCGUUCCCCUGUCCGUCCUCGGCCACCACACUUCGCUCUCACUCCACGCCGCGUACCGCUAUUAAUACCACCGUCCACCUCCGCCACCACCGUGCUCCGUACACGCUCAGCUCCGACCAUGGCCGCCGCCGCCGCGGCCUCCUCCUCCGCACUUCCGUGCCUGCUACUGUUGAUGCUGCUGCUGCUGCCGUCGCUCGACGCCGCCUCCAAUGUGACGUACGACCACCGCUCCCUCAUCAUCGCCGGUCGCCGCCGCCUCCUCAUCUCCACCGCCAUCCACUACCCCCGCAGCGUCCCCGAGAUGUGGCCCAAGCUGGUGGCCGAGGCCAAGGACGGCGGCGCCGACUGCAUUGAGACCUACGUGUUCUGGAACGGCCAUGAGAUCGCCCCAGGCCAGUACUACUUCGAGGACCGGUUCGACCUGGUGCGAUUCGUUAAGGUCGUCAAGGACGCCGGCCUCCUCUUGAUCCUGCGCAUCGGGCCGUUCGUCGCCGCCGAGUGGAACUUUGGAGGCGUGCCGGUGUGGCUGCAUUACGUGCCAGGAACGGUCUUCCGUACGAGCAAUGAGCCAUUCAAGAGCCAUAUGCAGAGCUUCACGACAUACAUCGUGAAUAUGAUGAAGAAAGAGCAGCUCUUCGCUUCACAGGGAGGGAAUAUUAUCCUAGCUCAGAUAGAAAAUGAAUAUGGAGAUUAUUAUGAACAAUCAUAUGGACCUGGUGGCAAGGCAUACGCGAUGUGGGCAGCUAGUAUGGCCGUUGCUCAGAACACUGGUGUCCCUUGGAUAAUGUGCCAGGAGUCUGAUGCUCCCGAUCCCGUGAUAAACACGUGCAAUGGAUUCUACUGCGAUACAUUCCAGCCAAAUUCACCAACCAAGCCAAAAAUGUGGACUGAGAAUUGGCCAGGAUGGUUCCAGACGUUUGGUGAAAGUAAUCCCCACAGACCACCUGAAGACGUUGCGUUUGCCGUUGCACGUUUUUUUGAGAAAGGUGGCAGUGUUCAGAAUUACUAUAUGUACCAUGGUGGAACAAACUUUGGUCGCACUACUGGGGGCCCAUUCAUUACAACUAGCUAUGACUAUGAUGCACCAAUUGAUGAAUAUGGUCUUAGGAGAUUUCCAAAGUGGGCGCAUCUGAGGGAGCUUCACAAAUCUAUAAAAUUGUGCGAGCAUGCCUUGCUUUAUGGAAACACAACUUUUCUUUCCCUGGGACCUAAACAAGAGGCUGAUAUUUACACCGAUCGGUCCGGGGGCUGUGUUGCAUUCCUGGCAAACAUUGAUCCAGAAAAGGACAAAAUUGUCACUUUCAAUAACAGGAAAUAUGAUCUUCCUGCUUGGUCAGUUAGUAUCCUUCCCGACUGCAAGAAUGUGGUGUUCAACACUGCAAAGGUGCAAUCUCAAACUUCGAUGGUGACUAUGGUUCCAGAAAGUUUGCAAGCUUCAAAAUCUGAUCGAUGGAGCAUUUUCAGAGAGAGAACUGGGAUUUGGGGUAAAAAUGACUUCGUCCAAAAUGGAUUUGUGGACCAUAUUAAUACAACAAAGGACUCCACUGACUACCUAUGGUAUACAACAAGCAGUUUUAGUGUGGAUGGAAGUUACCCAUCAAAAGGGAGCCAUGCUGUUCUUAACAUUGACUCCAAAGGCCAUGGGGUCCAUGCUUUCCUGAAUAAUGAGUUUAUAGGUAGUGCAUAUGGCAAUGGUUCAAAAUCAAGUUUCACUGUGGAAUUGCCUAUCAACCUGAGGACUGGGAAGAAUGAACUUGCCCUUCUGAGUAUGACCGUUGGUUUACAAAAUGCAGGACCCUCUUAUGAGUGGAUAGGAGCAGGCUUUACAAAUGUGAACAUCUCUGGUUUGAAAAAUGGAGCCAUAGACUUGUCUUCAAAUAAUUGGGCGUACAAGAUUGGAUUGGAAGGGGAAUAUUAUAGUUUGUUCAAGCCUGAUCAGAGAAGUAACAAACGGUGGAUACCACAAUCUGAGCCACCGAAAAACCAACCUUUGACAUGGUACAAGGUAAAUGUUGAUGUUCCACAAGGAGAUGACCCAGUUGGGAUAGACAUGCAGUCUAUGGGGAAAGGCCUGGCUUGGUUGAAUGGAAAUGCCAUUGGGAGGUAUUGGCCCAGGACUAGUUCCAGUGAUGAUAGGUGCACUCCCAGUUGUAACUACAGGGGAGCAUUUAAUCCAGACAAGUGCAGAACAGGUUGUGGACAGCCAACUCAGAGAUGGUACCAUGUCCCACGGUCAUGGUUUCAUCCAUCAGAGAACACCCUUGUUGUUUUUGAGGAGAAGGGUGGGGAUCCCACGAAGAUCACAUUCUCAAGAAGAGUUGUGUCAAGCGUAUGCUCCUUUGUGUCAGAGCACUAUCCUUCCAUAGACUUAGAGUCCUGGGAUAAAAGUAUCACAAAUGAUGCCACAGCCGCAGCCAAAGUGCAGUUGUCUUGCCCCAAGGGCAAAAAUAUAUCUUCAGUAAAGUUUGCGAGCUUGGGAAACCCCAGCGGAACUUGCAGAUCGUACCAAAAGGGAAGCUGCCACCACCCGAACUCCUUAUCUGUUGUUGAGAAGGCCUGUCUGAACACCAAUAGCUGUGCAGUCUCCCUGUCAGAUGGGGGCUUUGGGGAAGAUUUAUGCCCUGGAGUCACCAAAACACUUGCCGUCGAAGCGGACUGUUCUUAGUGAGCUAUCUCUGUUAUGCAUUCCAGGUUCCACUACAAGUGCGCUCAUCAAAAAUUAUAAAUUGUAUCAGAUCGCACUGAAUAGAGCCCCCUCCAUUGCCCCCUCUUAAUGUUGCGUCGCGUCAUGAACUUUCUGGAUUAGCCAAUGACAAUGAUGCAAGGCUACGCAUAAAUUCUAGGUCAGAAAGAUGGCUUGUCGUUUCCUCACUAUUGGGGGACACAAAUGAGCUUCCCCACAGUGAUACCAGCAGGUUCACAGUGCGGGACUGUGGAUGGAGGGAGACGAAACCUCCAGCUUAGUGCCCCAUUUGCCGUAGCAUCUGGGUCACGUACUACUUGGGAUCUGUUCGUGCUGUACGGACAUCGGAGUGUGCAGUAGGAAUAAAUCUUCAAUCGCCCAUUAAACUGAGUCGUACUCCUUUAUAAAAAAAAAACUGAGUCGUAGUCCAGAUGACAUGAAUACUCCCAAUUUUGUGGACUCCAGUGCAAAUUGUGCAAUUCAAUCUUGUUUGUA